UGAGGUGUCUCAUUUCCGGACACCAAGCCACAGGAACCAUAUAAAAAGGCUCACACCUCAAUGAUCCUCAAUCGCCUUGGCUUCUUCACUUGCUCCCAUCGGUGAAUUGGUUUUGCCCACGUCCCAGGAAGAUGUCUUACCAGCAGCAAUGCAAACAGCCCUGCCUGCCCCCUCCAUGCUGUGUGAAGCAGGUCAAGACUAAAUGUGUGGAUCCCUGUCCGUGCCCUCCUAAGUGC
Long non-coding RNA from Chelonia mydas (Green sea turtle), 236 nucleotides. RefSeq lists it as uncharacterized. The record is from RefSeq and is a predicted model, not a curated record. The transcript is spliced from 2 exons. NCBI's taxonomy places the organism in Eukaryota, Metazoa, Chordata, Testudines, Cheloniidae.